Paramuricea clavata is the source of this 1101-nucleotide non-coding RNA. NCBI's taxonomy places the organism in Eukaryota, Metazoa, Cnidaria, Anthozoa, Malacalcyonacea, Plexauridae. The record is from the annotation of a GenBank genome assembly.
AUCUUGGAAUGCUACAUGUAAGCCUUUGAAAUGUAUAUAGGACAACGUUUCAUCAUGCAAUAGUUAACUUUUUAUCUUCAUAUUGUAUUUAAUCUGCACAGCUGUACUUCCGUUCUUUUGUAAAUAUGAUACACUGGUCAACUAAAACAACAAAGAAACAAAAUGGCUGUGAAUGCAUCUUAUGUGAAUGAGUUCUCCUCUAUUAUAAAAACCAUUAUAAAAUAAUAAAAACAAUAUAAAACUUUACCCUUAACACAGACCCUUGACCCCACGUGACGUCAUAUGACACCCGAGAAUAGUCUUGUUUCCAUCCAACCACACCUGUCAUACUUUGGAUUUCUCAUUAUGUUAUUUUUCGCAUUUUGUUUUGUAUUUUAAUGUGUUUUUUAAAACCGACUGGUGGUACUUGUUUUUCAGUAAAAUAGAAAACAUGCUUGGGAUUUCAAAAUUUCACAAAUUGCACUCAGCUAUAUUAUUCAUAGUACAUAACCUGCGAGGUGGCAUAUUUUGGGUACAAUCUCAAAUACGAAAAGAAAGCCGCACAUGAUUUCAAAAUCCCCGCAGUGAUUCAUGGUAUCAUAAAUAAUCUAAUAAACGCCCACAUUCUGAAAAUAUUUAGUAGACAUCCCAGUCAAGCCAGAAUUUUAACAGACGCUCAUCUCUAUUAACAUUCGUGGCGUAUUGUUGAAGAGCCUGGGGGGGGGGGCUGGGAACACCCCCUGAAACAUUUUGAAAUCUAGAGUCCUUGAAGUAGUGAUACAAACUCUACUACAAAGACAUGAUAAUAGGCAAUUACCAUAGGCAGCUGAACAUUAAGGGACUGAAGCCAACGACUUAACAACUUAACGACUUAACAACGACUUUUCCAGAUACAGCCAUGUUUCCCCAAUGAUCAACAAUUUAGGAUGUGGCACACUUGAACGGCGUAGACUGCUUAACCAGUCGUGUAUGUUCUAUAAGAUCCACCAAGGCCGCGUUGAUUAGUUAAACUUCCCCCCUGAAGUGUUGCCCUAUAAAAAGAAAAAAACGACUUCCAAAUCAUUAUCCCUUUCAGCAAGUUUCUUGUAACAAUGAUAUUUUCAAAUUUUUCCCAAGAGCCAU